AAAUAAUUAUAGUUUAUAUAUUGUCAUUUACGAGUUAGCGAAUAGGAGUCAACAUAUAAUAAACAGAAAGUAUCAUGUAUUAUAUCGAUUGUGUUGCAUUACAAAGAACACAUUCCAAAGAUUACAAGAUGUGAAACAAUCUAGUAGUAGCCCAAUUGUCCACCCUGCAAUCAACUACAAUGGUUGAAACAUUGACCCCGGAUAUGACAUUCUAAUUAUGAAAUAGUGGCCACAUUCUCAACGUUGCAAUCAACAUCCAACCCAGGCACCAUGAUUUCUUGGCAAUCUACAACAACAAAUAAAUGAGAUGAGUAGCGUAUGGCAGAAAAAAAUCUGGUUAAAGCAGUAAAAAUUCAAGGAAGGGAAACUAUGGUAGCUUUGUACAAAGAUUAUAUAUCCAGUGUUUGUAAACUGCAGAUUCAGCAUAUGGUUGGUAAUUUGGAAGACCAAAUAUAUUUAUACUGACGUCCAAGUUGAUUGGUUGACAAAUUGUAACCUUCAUUAGCUAAUAACACCCUUGGUGAACACAGGAAACUCAAUUAAGUUCCGCUUACAAAAUAGACUGUAGAUUGGCUGCCAGUCGUCAAUAAAUCAUUAUUCAUACGCUGGUAUCUAGCCCAAAUUGUCUAUCUCAUUUUUGUAAAAAACUGUAUACUGAAUAUGAACUCUGAAUUAAUCUGAAAUAUUGAGAAAGUGAUGUUAGUAUGCUGAGAAUAUAUUAAAUAAAUAAAUAAAUAUUUUCAAGGGACAUGAUUUAGUAUUUCUCGUAAGUGAUUACUAUACUAAUAGGCAGACUACUUUUUCAGCAACGUACAGAUAGUGUUGUUUGAACCAAAAAAAUUGAUGUAAAAAAGAAUACUAUGUCAGUUUAAAGUACAUUGCUAAAUGAGAUGGGCAAUGCAAAAAACAAAACAUCCUUGGGUUAUGUCAUUUUUAUUUUCCUAGUACUGUACAUGCAUCUAACUUUUCCUCCUUGGCCAAACAGUUACUCGUGCAAAAGCAAUAGCUGUAACUAUACCCACUUGAUCCAUCUGACUUGUCAGUACUGCAUCUUGCAUUAUAUUCACCGCAUUAGUGCGGCCGAGUCGCUGCGCUGCUGUCCAUAAAGGAGACGCACCUAACCUCGCAUGUACAACCCAUCAAGGAGCCAUCAUUCCUGCCCUGCACGUUGACAACUAAACCAAAUUUUAAACCCAAAAGUGAGCAUAGUGGAAGCCUGGAACGGCAACCAGAUGGAUAAUAUUGGUGUAACUGACGAUGCGGACACCAAAAUAGAUAAGAAGUGGGGCGGCACAAGAAACAUACAGAACCUACAGGAACAAGUUAAGAUGUGCAGCUUGUCUGACUCAUUUCUUUAGUGCAAAGUGUGUCAAACAAAUUAAUAAGAUUCAUAACACGGAUAAGGGAUCUAUUUUCUCCUCAAAGUAAUCAAAAUGUCAUUAAUCGUUAAUAGUGUCAAACUAGGAUAAAUUUGAGAUAAUAUGGCAGCUAAUUGAAUGAGUCUGUGAUAAUCAACUUCAAUUGAAAAUAUUAGUAAUUAAGUAUUCAUCUACAUAUAUAGCAGCAAGAAAAUCAAAGAAAUAUAAUGCAUCACAAAAAUAGUUUGUCAGAAAAGGGGGAAGCAAAUAUUCUUCCUAUGAAUUAACACAGAUAGCACGGUUCCAUAUAUCUACAUCAGUCAGCUAAGUAGCAAUAACCUGCACAUGGAGAACUAGAUACAGUACGAGACAUGCCUAAAAUUGAACGUCUAGAAAGGAGAAGCGGGUGCUUGGGCCUGCCCUAUUCUACAGCGAAGAUGUUGAAUUAUUAAAAUGACUAAGAACUCAAGCAUCCAGCAGAGAAACAUGGAUGCGCCGUCACCGAUGCUGGUGGAUCAGAUCGAUGGAGGGCAGGACUUGCGGCUGAGAAAGAUUGCAGUAAGUACGGUGAUGAUGAUGCGGUGGCGGAGGGUGAGGGAGACCUCGAAGGCUCUGUCUAAACUGGGCGGCGAUGGCGUCAUCCAGAUCUAGCUAGCUCACCAUCUUGAGG
This 2028-nucleotide long non-coding RNA is filed under the name Triticum aestivum (bread wheat). RNAcentral describes it as "long non-coding RNA (TAES_LNC007182)". The record is from RNAcentral. Lineage: Eukaryota; Viridiplantae; Streptophyta; Magnoliopsida; Poales; Poaceae.